GAAUUUUAAAUGUGCUAACAGCUAAGUAAUGAAUCUUAUCUCAGUAGUAAAUGAAAUCUACUACAGAAUGAUUGAUCUACAUUCAGUAAAUUAUUCUACUCAUAAAGAGUCCUUUAACAUAGCAAACAAUCUAUCCUAAUAUAGCUGUUUUUAAGAUUUGGUGUUUCUGAAUAUUAGAGUUUCCUUAAGGAUCUCUACAUCAUAUAGUGAUCUGAAACAUGUGAAACCAUUUAUGUUGUAUGCAAAAAUUCGGAACACACUGUCUUCAGAAUCUGAAAUGGAACAUAAAAAUAAUAACAUACAUUUAUUGGAUACUUCACUGUGCAUCAGUUUCCAAGCUAAGCACUUGAUACAUGCCAUCUCAUUUAAUCCUCACAAGAAUCCUACAAGGAAGCAAAAUGUGGUGAUUUUAAAGCUGUUAUAGUGGAAGUAUCAGGACAAGCCCAUUACACGGGUACAGCAAGCUUUAUAGUAGAAGAUGACGACCCACUGAGGGAUGGAUUUCUUCUCAAGUGACUUCUUCCAUGAUUUUAAGGGCUUUCUUUUUAAAGUAAUCAUUAUCCUUAACUACUGUUUUCUCUAAAUUAUAUGAAAACAAAUAAUCAAAUUAUACAUAUAAA
Molecule: small RNA, 620 nt
Filed under: Pongo abelii (Sumatran orangutan)
Lineage: Eukaryota; Metazoa; Chordata; Mammalia; Primates; Hominidae
Description: retained intron
Source: RNAcentral